RNAcentral lists this ribosomal RNA (424 nucleotides) under uncultured bacterium. RNAcentral describes it as "bacterial SSU rRNA". It matches the Rfam family "Bacterial small subunit ribosomal RNA", at positions 355 to 776 of the family's 1533-position model. The record is from RNAcentral.
UGGGGAAUUUUGGACAAUGGGGGCAACCCUGAUCCAGCAACGCCGCGUGAGGGAUGAAGGUUCUCGGAUUGUAAACCUCUUUUGUGGGGGACGAAUCACUGCGUGAAGAACGCAGAAUGACGGUACUCCACGAAUAAGCCACGGCUAACUUCGUGCCAGCAGCCGCGGUAAUACGAAGGUGGCAAGCGUUACUCGGAAUUACUAGGCGUAAAGCGCAGGUAGGUGGUUUGGUAAGUCUGUUAUGAAAUCUCCCGGCUUAACUGGGAGGGGCUAAUGGAUACUGCCAGGCUCGAGUGUGGGAGAGGUAACUGGAAUUCCAGGUGUAGCGGUGAAAUGCGUAGAUAUCUGGAGGAACACCAAUGGCGAAAGCAGGUUACUGGCCCAAUACUGACACUGAGCUGCGAAAGCUAGGGGAGCAAACAGG